This 240-nucleotide small RNA is filed under the name Sorex araneus (European shrew). RNAcentral describes it as "7SK RNA (ENSSARG00000018655.1)". It matches the Rfam family "7SK RNA", at positions 1 to 252 of the family's 331-position model. Rfam says of the family: 7SK was discovered as an abundant small nuclear RNA in the mid-70s but a possible function has only recently been suggested. Two independent studies have found that 7SK RNA binds the CDK9/cyclin T complex (known as elongation factor P-TEFb). P-TEFb activates transcription by phosphorylating the C-terminal domain of RNA polymerase II. Lineage: Eukaryota; Metazoa; Chordata; Mammalia; Eulipotyphla; Soricidae. The record is from RNAcentral.
GGAUGGAAGGGUGAUGUGGCUGCAACAUUUGUUCACCCCAGGGUUGAUUCUGGGUGUCCCCUGCCUUCCUCACUGUUCCAUGUGCAUCCCUCCCAAAGCUGUGUGCUCGGUCCAAGAGGCCAGCCCUUCCCGUACAGAGACCAUUCCUCAUUGGAGGACAUAUGAGUAGCUGUUCUCCCUGCUAGAACCCCCAAACAAGCUCUCGAGAAUUCUCUGCUUUCUGUGCUGUUCUUUCUGCUG